AGUGAACGCUGGCGGUAGGCCUAACACAUGCAAGUCGAACGGCAGCACAGUAAGAGCUUGCUCUUACGGGUGGCGAGUGGCGGACAGGUGAGGAAUACAUCGGAAUCUACUUUUUCGUGGGGGGUAACGUAGGGAAACUUACGCUAAUACCGCAUACGACCUACGGGUGAAAGCAGGGGAUCUUCGGACCUUGCGCGAUUGAAUGAGCCGAUGUCGGAUUAGCUAGUUGGCGGGGUAAAGGCCCACCAAGGCGACGAUCCGUAGCUGGUCUGAGAGGAUGAUCAGCCACACUGGAACUGAGACACGGUCCAGACUCCUACGGGAGGCAGCAGUGGGGAAUAUUGGACAAUGGGCGCAAGCCUGAUCCAGCCAUACCGCGUGGGUGAAGAAGGCCUUCGGGUUGUAAAGCCCUUUUGUUGGGAAAGAAAAGCAGCAGGUUAAUACCCCGCUGUUCUGACGGUACCCAAAGAAUAAGCACCGGCUAACUUCGUG
This 492-nucleotide ribosomal RNA is filed under the name uncultured bacterium. RNAcentral's name for it is "partial 16S ribosomal RNA". It matches the Rfam family "Bacterial small subunit ribosomal RNA", at positions 29 to 507 of the family's 1533-position model. The record is from RNAcentral.